UAAAUUAGAAUAAACAGAAAUAAUUGUGUAUGUACGGAACACACAAGUUUCUAUUUUUGAAUUUAAUUUAUCAGUACCUACUGAUUACAUCAGUCGUAUUAUUUUAAGCAUCAACCGGCGUGGGAAACCCUAAUGAGAUAAUCUUAUCAAAUAAUCACUAUAUAUUUUUAAAAUGUAGUAAUUUGCAGCACUUAUUAUUUUUUAUCCUUCAGUAGACUGAAAAAUUUCAUUUGUAAUAAUAAGUAAUUAAUAUUAUCACUUAUUGUUUGGGAAAUACCCAGUGCAAUUUACUUAAAUUGAAAGUAAUUAAAGAAAAGAUUGAAGAUUUGACACAUUUCUAUAAAAAACUUCUGCAAAAGGUGUCAAUAUAAUGAGUGUCAUCAAAUGGUUAGGAUUUACUCAGUGUACUAUAUGGAAAUGGCAACCGGACGCGGGAUAACGGCGAGCGGGACGCUCAGCGUAAACAGUAACGGCGUGUCCGGUCGUCAUAUGCUGGUGUUACAGUAUGUGACAUUGACUGGAACGCUGGUUAGACGGCGACUUGGAAGAAAAUAAAGCAAAAACUUGAGCAACAUUUUAUAUGCAAAAUAUGUCAAAUCAUAUUUGCAAACUACGUCGCGAGAUUGAGAAAAUAUAUUCAACAUACAAAAGCCGUAUUAGAAAUAAAAUAAUACGUAACGUUUCGAAUUCUAUGGCCACCACGACCCGGUGAGGAAACCAUCACCAAGCAUCUGUGGCCAUACAUGCCGUCAGCUGUUUCGACAACAGGGAUGAACGGACAUAUUGAUAUUCUAAAAAUUCCUAUUAGCGAUGUCUAACGGUACAUAUGUUUUUUUUAUCAGAUAUAUAAAAUAUUGUAUUUAUUCAAAAUUGUA
Plodia interpunctella (Indianmeal moth) is the source of this 875-nucleotide long non-coding RNA. RefSeq lists it as uncharacterized. The transcript has 3 exons. Lineage: Eukaryota; Metazoa; Arthropoda; Insecta; Lepidoptera; Pyralidae. The record is from RefSeq and is a predicted model, not a curated record.